Molecule: small nucleolar RNA, 152 nt
Organism: Papaver somniferum (opium poppy)
Lineage: Eukaryota; Viridiplantae; Streptophyta; Magnoliopsida; Ranunculales; Papaveraceae
Product: small nucleolar RNA snoR145
Exons: 1
Source: RefSeq, a predicted model, not a curated record
UGGCGAAGGUCCCAGCAGGGAGGGUAAAACAAACUCUAUCAGAGACCUCUCUAACACAAUAUAAUACCUUCGUAGAUUUUAUUGCCGAUUCGUAGGACUCGUUAAUCUUUCUUUCGAUUUUUAACGAGUCUUUUAUAAUUGGCUACAUUUUU